CNGGAUUUAUUGGGCGUAAAGCGAGCGCAGGCGGUUUGAUAANUCUGAAGUUAAAGGCUGUGGCUCAACCAUAGUUNGCUUUGGAAACUGUCAAACUNGAGUGCAGAAGGGGAGAGUGGAAUUCCAUGUGUAGCGGUGAAAUGCGUAGAUAUAUGGAGGAACACCGGUGGCGAAAGCGGCUCUNUGGUCUGUAACUGGCGCUGAGGCUCGAAANGCGUGGGGAGCGAACAGGAUUAGAUACCCUGGUAGUNCACGCCGUAAACGAUGAGUGCUAGGUGUUGGAUCCUUUCCGGGAUUCAGUGCCGCAGCUAACGCAUUAAGCACUCCGCCUGGGGAGUACGACCGCAAGGUUGAAACUCAAAGGAAUUGACGGGGGCCCGCACAAGCGGUGGAGCAUGUGGUUUAAUUCGAAGCAACGCGAAGAACCUUACCAGGUCUUGACAUCCCGAUGCUAUUUCUAGAGAUAGAAAGUUACUUCGGUACAUCGGUGACAGGUGGUGCAUGGUUGUCGUCAGCUCGUGUCGUGAGAUGUUGGGUUAAGNNNNNNNNNCGAGCGCAACCCCUAUUGUUAGUUGCCAUCAUUCAGUUGGGCACUCUAGCGAGACUGCCGGUAAUAAACCGGAGGAAGGUGGGGAUGACGUCAAAUCAUCAUGCCCCUUAUGACCUGGGCUACACACGUGCUACAAUGGUUGGUACAACGAGUUGCGAGUCGGUGACGGCAAGCUAAUCUCUUAAAGCCAAUCUCAGUCCGGAUUGUAGGC
This 761-nucleotide ribosomal RNA is filed under the name uncultured bacterium. Its description in RNAcentral is "partial 16S ribosomal RNA". It matches the Rfam family "Bacterial small subunit ribosomal RNA", at positions 545 to 1305 of the family's 1533-position model. The record is from RNAcentral.